This 217-nucleotide ribosomal RNA is filed under the name uncultured bacterium. RNAcentral's name for it is "partial 16S ribosomal RNA". It matches the Rfam family "Bacterial small subunit ribosomal RNA", at positions 28 to 250 of the family's 1533-position model. The record is from RNAcentral.
GACGAACGCUGGCGGCGUGCUUAACACAUGCAAGUCGAGGGGGCCCAGCAAUGGGUCACCGGCGAACGGGUGCGUAACACGUGAGCGACCCUACCCCGGUAGUGGGGGAGUAGCCGGCCCGAACGGCCGGGUAAUACCGCAUACGCUCUUCGGGUUUCAUGGCCUGGAGAGGAAACUUUUCUGGUACUGGGAGGGGCUCGCGGCCUAUCAGCUAGUU